AGCUUUGCGCAGUGGCAGUAUCAUAGCCAAUGAGGUUUAUCCGAGCAAUUAUUGCUAAUUAAUAAAUUAAAUAAUAAAAUGGGGACACUUUUAGUGCUUAUAAAGGUUUACUAACC
This 116-nucleotide small nuclear RNA is filed under the name Vulpes vulpes (red fox). RNAcentral's name for it is "U4 spliceosomal RNA (ENSVVUG00000030322.1)". It matches the Rfam family "U4 spliceosomal RNA". Rfam says of the family: U4 small nuclear RNA (U4 snRNA) is a component of the major U2-dependent spliceosome. The structure of U4 snRNA from yeast and human has been reported. Lineage: Eukaryota; Metazoa; Chordata; Mammalia; Carnivora; Canidae. The record is from Rfam by way of RNAcentral.